GACGAACCGUGCGAACGUUGUUCGGAAUCAUUGGGCGUAAAGCGCGUGUAGGCGGUCCGGUAAGUCCGCUGUGAAAGUCGGGGGCUCAACCCUCGGAUGCCGGUGGAUACUGUCGGGCUUGAGUACGGAAGAGGCGAGUGGAAUUCCUGGUGUAGCGGUGAAAUGCGCAGAUAUCAGGAGGAACACCAAUUGCGAAGGCAGCUCGCUGGGACGUUACUGACGCUGAGACGCGAAAGCGUGGGGAGCAAACAGG
Molecule: ribosomal RNA, 253 nt
Filed under: uncultured bacterium
Lineage: Bacteria
Description: partial 16S ribosomal RNA
Rfam family: Bacterial small subunit ribosomal RNA
Source: RNAcentral